Non-coding RNA from Bos taurus (domestic cattle), 73 nucleotides. Lineage: Eukaryota; Metazoa; Chordata; Mammalia; Artiodactyla; Bovidae. The record is from Rfam.
UCCCUGGUGGUCCAGUGGCCAAGACUCCACACUCGCAAUGCAGAGGGCCCAGGUUCGAACCCUGGUCAGGGUA